UGUGUAGGCGGUUCUUUAAGUUUGGUGUGAAAUCUCCCGGCUCAACCGGGAGGGUGCGCCGAAUACUGAGGGACUAGAGUGUGGGAGAGGAAAGUGGAAUUCCUGGUGUAGCGGUGAGAUGCGUAGAUAUCAGGAGGAACACCGGUGGUGUAGACGGCUUUCUGGACCAUAACUGACGCUGAGACACGAAAGCGUGGGUAGCAAACAGGAUUAGAUACCCUGGUAGUCCACGCCCUAAACGAUGCAUAUUUGGUGUGGGUCAUUCAGUUGAUCCGUGCCGGAGCCAACGCGUUAAAUAUGCCGCCUGGGGAGUACAGUCGCAAGGCUGAA
RNAcentral lists this ribosomal RNA (330 nucleotides) under uncultured bacterium. Its description in RNAcentral is "bacterial SSU rRNA". It matches the Rfam family "Bacterial small subunit ribosomal RNA", at positions 568 to 898 of the family's 1533-position model. The record is from RNAcentral.